This 642-nucleotide ribosomal RNA is filed under the name uncultured bacterium. RNAcentral describes it as "bacterial SSU rRNA". It matches the Rfam family "Bacterial small subunit ribosomal RNA", at positions 61 to 692 of the family's 1533-position model. The record is from RNAcentral.
GUCGAGGGGCAGCGGGGUUGUAGCAAUACAACUGCCGGCGACCGGCGCACGGGUGAGUAACACGUAUGUAACCUGCCCUCUGCAGGGGGAUAAGCGGAAGAAAUUCCGUCUAAUACCGCAUAAUACAAUUUGGAGACAUCUCCGGGUUGUCAAAGGAGUGAUCCGGCAGAGGAUGGACAUGCGGCGCAUUAGCUAGUCGGCGGGGUAACGGCCCACCGAGGCUACGAUGCGUAGGGGUUCUGAGAGGAAGGUCCCCCACACUGGUACUGAGACACGGACCAGACUCCUACGGGAGGCAGCAGUGAGGAAUAUUGGUCAAUGGGCGGAAGCCUGAACCAGCCAAGUCGCGUGAGGGAAGACGGUCCUAUGGAUUGUAAACCUCUUUUGCAGGGGAGCAAGGCGCGGUACGUGUACCGCGAAGGAGAGUACCCUGAGAAAAAGCAUCGGCUAACUCCGUGCCAGCAGCCGCGGUAAUACGGAGGAUGCGAGCGUUAUCCGGAUUUAUUGGGUUUAAAGGGUGCGCAGGCGGACUGUUAAGUCAGCGGUAAAAUGUCGGUGCUCAACACCGGCCGGCCGUUGAAACUGGCAGCCUUGAGUGAGCGAGAAGUAUGCGGAAUGCGUGGUGUAGCGGUGAAAUGCAUA